AGAGAGAGACAUGCGCGCAUAUCAAUAAGCGGAGGAAAAGAAACUAACAAGGAUUCCCUUAGUAACGGCGAGUGAAGCGGGAAGAGCUCAAAUUUGAAAUCUUCAAGGUUUUACCUUGACGAAUUGUAGUUUAAAGAAGUGUUUUCUGCUGAAGUUUUGGUAAAAGUUCUUUGGAAUAGGACAUCAUAGAGGGUGAGAAUCCCGUAUUUGACCAUUAUUUUCAGCUUUGCUGAUACACUUUCAAAGAGUCGGAUUGUUUGGGAAUGCAGUCCAAAAUGGGUGGUAAAUUUCAUCUAAAGCUAAAUAUUGGCGAGAGACCGAUAGCGAACAAGUACCGUGAGGGAAAGAUGAAAAGAACUUUGAAAAGAGAGUUAAACAGUACGUGAAAUUGUCAAAAGGGAAGCGUUUGACACCAGUGUUGUUUUCUCGAAAAUCAAUUAAAAAUGGCUCGAUUUUGUAUUGCUGAGACCUUAAAAGCUCACUGUACAUUUUUCGUGUCUUUUUUAAUGCACUUUUCGUUUAACAAGUCAACAUCAGUUUCUUUUGUUGUAAAAGGGUCAUUGGAAGGUGGCUUUCUUUUCGGAGAAAGUGUUUAUAGCCUUUGGCCUCUGCAAUCGAAGAGACUGAGGUCUGCAGCGUAGACUCUUCGGGGUUAGAUACAUUUGUGCUAAGUUAUAGCUUUUUAUAGACAACUUGUUGACUAUAAUUAGUCUUGUAGCUUACUCGCUUAUGCUAUUUUACCUACGCUUAGGAUGUUGAAGAUGUAGCACAUCAU
RNAcentral lists this ribosomal RNA (775 nucleotides) under uncultured Neocallimastigales. RNAcentral describes it as "partial large subunit ribosomal RNA". It matches the Rfam family "Eukaryotic large subunit ribosomal RNA", at positions 23 to 634 of the family's 3401-position model. Lineage: Eukaryota; Fungi; Neocallimastigomycota; Neocallimastigomycetes; Neocallimastigales. The record is from RNAcentral.